This is a long non-coding RNA of Oxyura jamaicensis (ruddy duck), 371 nucleotides long. RefSeq lists it as uncharacterized. The record is from RefSeq and is a predicted model, not a curated record. NCBI's taxonomy places the organism in Eukaryota, Metazoa, Chordata, Aves, Anseriformes, Anatidae. The transcript is spliced from 3 exons.
CUGAGGCUGAAAUUUCCCUUCAGGGAGCCAAGGGAUUUUUUUUUUUUUCUUCACUUACAAGAAAGAAGGGGCAGAAGCCAGCAAAGCAAGCCAGUGCAGCUGGCAAUGGAGGAAUUAGUCUGCUGGAAAAUACACUUUCUUCCCCACUUCAGUUUUAUAAAACUGACCAAGAGGCCAAGCCAGGAUAUGACAAAUUUUCCUUCCUAAAAGAUUGGCAAGGUCUCGUUGGAGCUAAGCCAGGUAUGCAGUACAUCCAGAGGAAUUGCCUUUGGCCUCUUUUAUCUCAGAGGCCACCGAGCAUGGUGAAAUACCUCAGCUCUCAUACCAUCCUGAUGGUUCCUACUCCUGGGUUUUGAUGACUUUAUCUUUAA